UUUGAAGGUACUGUUUUCUCCUUGUUCAACCCGCCCUUCAGCCACACAAAUAUUUCAUCACCCUAAACCCGCCCGCCCUACGGAUACAACUGAGAGGACUGUAGGUUAUGAGUCAACCCGCGCAUCGCUAACAGACAUACACACACUUCGUGGACUGAACCAGACCCUUCUCCAUUACCAUAUCCCACCUCUCUAGAGGCCUGCUGCUGUCCCAAUGACACUAAAUAACAGUAUGAAAAUAAGAAGACAUUAGCCAAGCCUGGCACAGGGACCAGCACUGCUGUUUAUUCUGGGGCUAACUUACCUAGAAACACCCAGACCACUCCUACUCAAUCCGAACAAAACCCUGGCAGCUCUCUUUCUCUCUCUCUCUCUCUCUCUAGUGUACUUCCUCUUUUUCGUUGAGUCAGUGCUCCUCUUUCCUCUCUGUGAUUACCCUCUAAUCUCCCCACUGACAUGUUCAAAUGACUUUCUCCCCUUUCCUCCCCUUUCCUCCCCUUUUCUCCCCUUUUCUCCCCUUUCCUCCCCUUUUCUCCCCUUUCUUCUCCCUGGAUGUUUCCUUUGGCGUCCCCACUCUCAAAGGCAGAACACAUGAACACAGGGAGGAGGCAUUACAUGGGAGGACUACUGCACUUCAGCUCUUUCUGCCUUGUUCUUCUUCGUUUGUUUACGAUGCUGAGAGGGAACGUUUCUGGAGAGGUGCAGCUGUUAUGUAGUUCUGUUGACCUCUGACCUCUAUUAAGGUGAAUAGAUGGAGGGAGAGAUGGCGGAGAGGAGAGGUUCGGUGGUCUGUCUUUAUUCAUUUGGAUUUGAGGGCCAGCCUGGGAGUGUCCUAUAGAUAAUACCCUUCACAGUCAGAGGACGAUUAGUCGGCUGUUUCUACACUUCUCCAACUCUCACUCCUCCAUCCUUCCAUCCCUCAGCCGUACACUGGAUAAUUGUUAUGAGUAUUCAUCCAUCAGGCAGUCAGUGAAACUGCUGACAGUGAGAGAAGAGUUUCACUUUAAUGUUCUAACUUUAACAGGAGGAGCUGUGAAUGAGAUGGUUAAAGAGAUUCUCCGGUACUUUUGUAUCCUUUCUUUAAGUGAUGCCAGCCUCUCUAAGAUGAGUCAGGGGAAACUGGUUAAUCCUAAUCAUGUAGCACAUCUUUAAGUGAUGCCAGUCUCUCUAAGAUGAGUCAGGGGAAACUGGUUAAUCCUAAUCAUGUAGCACAUCUUUAAGUGAUGCCAGCCUCUCUAAAAUGAGUCAGGGGAAACUGGUUAAUCCUAAUCAUGUAGCACAUCUUUAAGUGAUGCCAGCCUCUCUAACAUGAGUCAGGGGAAACUGGUUAAUCCUAAUCAUGUAGCACAUCUUUAAGUGAUGGCAGUCUCUCUAAGAUGAGUCAGGGGAAACUGGUUAAACCUAAUCAUGUAGCACAUCUUUAAGUGAUGCCAGUCUCUCUAAGAUGAGUCAGGGGAAACUGGUUAAUCCUAAUCAUGUAGCACAUCUUUAAGUGAUGCCAGUCUCUCUAAGAUGAGUCAGGGGAAACUGGUGACCUUGUAGCGGUAUUUAUUAGAGAGGGUAAAGAAAGAUUUUGUUCGGGCGCCAGGCAGGUAUUAACCAUGCCGAAAGGAAAAGAGUAGAAUAGAGAGAGUACCACUACCAGACACACACACAUCAGCAGAAGAGACUGCCUAGAGUGUAGCCUGUUUACCAGAUAGCCAGUGGAGAGAAAAGAGAAUACACACCAUAUAAAACCCACAUCACAACACAGGGGUAACCCCAACAAGAAUACCUCAUACAAUAAUACUAAUACUAAUAAUGGCAGAGCAAUUCAACAGCAACUUCAUACAAGAACGAACCCAGUCAUCAACAUAGGAUUUGCAAUAAUCUGUAUUAUUUUCUAGUGGAUGAGUGCAGAGGGUAUGAAUGUGGGGGGUGUUCAUCGACACAACAAAGGCCUUAAAAAUGUCCACAG
Molecule: long non-coding RNA, 1957 nt
Organism: Oncorhynchus tshawytscha (Chinook salmon)
Lineage: Eukaryota; Metazoa; Chordata; Actinopteri; Salmoniformes; Salmonidae
Source: Ensembl